UACCUGGCGGCUGCUUUCACAUGCAAGUCGAACGGCAGCACGGGUGCUUGCACCUGGUGGCGAGUGGCGAACGGGUGAGUAAUGCAUUGGAACGUACCGAGUAGUGGGGGAUAACUGUCCGAAAGGAUAGCUAAUACCGCAUACGACCUGAGGGUGAAAGCGGGGGACUUUUAGGAGCCUCGCGCUAUUUGAGCGGCCAAUGUCUGAUUAGGUAGUUGGUGGGGUAAAGGCCUACCAAGCCGACGAUCAGUAGCGGGUCUGAGAGGAUGAUCCGCCACACUGGGACUGAGACACGGCCCAGACUCCUACGGGAGGCAGCAGUGGGGAAUUUUGGACAAUGGGGGGAACCCUGAUCCAGCCAUGCCGCGUGUCUGAAGAAGGCCUUCGGGUUGUAAAGGACUUUUGUCGGGGAAGAAAAGCGGAUUGAUAAUACCAGUUCGUGAUGACGGUACCCGAAGAAUAAGCACCGGCUAACUACGUGCCAGCAGCCGCGGUAAU
This 498-nucleotide ribosomal RNA is filed under the name uncultured bacterium. Its description in RNAcentral is "bacterial SSU rRNA". It matches the Rfam family "Bacterial small subunit ribosomal RNA", at positions 36 to 524 of the family's 1533-position model. The record is from RNAcentral.